UCCCCAAGGCUUGUUCCCACAACUCAGUAU
RNAcentral lists this non-coding RNA (30 nucleotides) under Rattus norvegicus (Norway rat). Lineage: Eukaryota; Metazoa; Chordata; Mammalia; Rodentia; Muridae. The record is from RNAcentral.